RNAcentral lists this ribosomal RNA (433 nucleotides) under uncultured bacterium. RNAcentral's name for it is "partial 16S ribosomal RNA". It matches the Rfam family "Bacterial small subunit ribosomal RNA", at positions 29 to 507 of the family's 1533-position model. The record is from RNAcentral.
AACGAACGCUGGCGGCAUGCCUAACACAUGCAAGUCGAACGAAGGCUUCGGCCUUAGUGGCGCACGGGUGCGUAACGCGUGGGAAUCUGCCCUUUGGUUCGGAAUAACAGCUGGAAACGGCUGCUAAUACCGGAUGAUGACGAAAGUCCAAAGAUUUAUCGCCAGAGGAUGAGCCCGCGUUGGAUUAGGUAGUUGGUGGGGUAAAGGCCUACCAAGCCGACGAUCCAUAGCUGGUCUGAGAGGAUGAUCAGCCACACUGGGACUGAGACACGGCCCAGACUCCGACGGGAGGCAGCAGUGGGGAAUAUUGGAGGAUGAGCGCAAGCCUGAUCCAGCAAUGCCGCGUGAGUGAUGAAGGCCCUAGGAUUGUAAAGCUCUUUUACCCGGGAAGAGAAUGGCUGUACCGGGUAAAGAAGCCCCGGCUAACUCCGUG